RNAcentral lists this ribosomal RNA (460 nucleotides) under uncultured bacterium. RNAcentral describes it as "partial 16S ribosomal RNA". It matches the Rfam family "Bacterial small subunit ribosomal RNA", at positions 338 to 795 of the family's 1533-position model. The record is from RNAcentral.
CCUACGGGAGGCAGCAGUGAGGAAUAUUGGUCAAUGGCCGAGAGUCUGAACCAGCCAAGUAGCGUGAAGGAUGACUGCCCUAUGGGUUGUAAACUUCUUUUAUAUGGGAAUAAAAUGUUCCACGUGUGGGAUUUUGUAUGUACCAUAUGAAUAAGGAUCGGCUAACUCCGUGCCAGCAGCCGCGGUAAUACGUAGGUGGCAAGCGUUGUCCGGAUUUACUGGGUGUAAAGGGCGGGUAGCCGGGAAGACAAGUCAGAUGUGAAAUCCGGAGGCUCAACCUCCGAAUUGCAUUUGAAACUGUUGUUCUUGAGUACUGGAGAGGCAGACGGAAUUCCUGGUGUAGCGGUGAAAUGCGUAGAUAUAAGGAGGAACACCAGUGGCGAAGGCAGUCUGCUGGACAGCAACUGACGGUGAGGCGCGAAAGCGUGGGUAGCGAACAGGAUUAGAUACCCGAGUAGUC